UACGUACCGUACGAACGUUAUUCGGAAUUACUGGGCUUAAAGGGUUUGUAGGCGGCUUUGUAAGUCAGGUGUGAAAUCCCUCGGCUCAACCGAGGAAUGGCGCUUGAUACUGCAAGGCUUGAGGGAGACAGGGGUAAGCGGAACUGAUGGUGGAGCGGUGAAAUGCGUUGAUAUCAUCAGGAACACCGGUGGCGAAAGCGGCUUACUGGGUCUCUUCUGACGCUGAGGAACGAAAGCUAGGGGAGCGAACGGG
This 253-nucleotide ribosomal RNA is filed under the name uncultured bacterium. Its description in RNAcentral is "partial 16S ribosomal RNA". It matches the Rfam family "Bacterial small subunit ribosomal RNA", at positions 524 to 776 of the family's 1533-position model. The record is from RNAcentral.